This 253-nucleotide ribosomal RNA is filed under the name uncultured bacterium. RNAcentral's name for it is "partial 16S ribosomal RNA". It matches the Rfam family "Bacterial small subunit ribosomal RNA", at positions 524 to 776 of the family's 1533-position model. The record is from RNAcentral.
UACGUAGGGUGCGAGCGUUAAUCGGAAUUACUGGGCGUAAAGCGUGCGCAGGCGGCUUCGCAAGUCAGGCGUGAAAUCCCCGGGCUUAACCUGGGAACUGCAUUUGUGACUGCAUCGCUGGAGUGCGGCAGAGGGGGAUGGAAUUCCGCGUGUAGCAGUGAAAUGCGUAGAUAUGCGGAGGAACACCGAUGGCGAAGGCAAUCCCCUGGGCCUGCACUGACGCUCAUGCACGAAAGCGUGGGGAGCAAACAGG